This 467-nucleotide ribosomal RNA is filed under the name uncultured bacterium. RNAcentral's name for it is "partial 16S ribosomal RNA". It matches the Rfam family "Bacterial small subunit ribosomal RNA", at positions 28 to 506 of the family's 1533-position model. The record is from RNAcentral.
GACGAACGCUGGCGGCGUGCUUAACACAUGCAAGUCGAACGGAAAGGCCCUGCUUUUGUGGGGUGCUCGAGUGGCGAACGGGUGAGUAACACGUGAGUAACCUGCCCUUGACUUUGGGAUAACUUCAGGAAACUGGGGCUAAUACCGGAUAGGAGCUCCUGCUGCAUGGUGGGGGUUGGAAAGUUUCGGCGGUUGGGGAUGGACUCGCGGCUUAUCAGCUUGUUGGUGGGGUAGUGGCUUACCAAGGCUUUGACGGGUAGCCGGCCUGAGAGGGUGACCGGCCACAUUGGGACUGAGAUACGGCCCAGACUCCUACGGGAGGCAGCAGUGGGGAAUAUUGCACAAUGGGCGGAAGCGUGAUGCAGCAACGCCGCGUGCGGGAUGACGGCCUUCGGGUUGUAAACCGCUUUCGCCUGUGACGAAGCGUGAGUGACGGUAAUGGGGAAAGAAGCACCGGCUAACUACGU